Molecule: ribosomal RNA, 497 nt
Filed under: uncultured bacterium
Lineage: Bacteria
Description: partial 16S ribosomal RNA
Rfam family: Bacterial small subunit ribosomal RNA
Source: RNAcentral
GAUGAACGCUGGCGGCGUGCCUAACACAUGCAAGUCGAGCGAACGGACGAGAAGCUCGUUUUUUUGAUGUUAGCGGCGGACGGGUGAGUAACACGUGCAUCACCUACCUAUUUGACUGGGAUAACUUCGUGAAACCGGAGCCAAUAACGCAUAAUAUUUUGAACCGCAUGGUUCAAAAGUUAUUGGCGGUCUUGCUGUCACUUAUAGAUGGUUCCGCGCUGCAUUAGCUAGUUGGUAAGGUAACGGCUUACCAAGGCAACGAUGCAUAGCCGACCUGAGAGGGUGAUCGGCCACACUGGAACUGAGACACGGUCCAGACUCCUACGGGAGGCAGCAGUAGGGAAUAUUGCGCAAUGGGCGAAAGCCUGACGGAGCAACGCCGCGUGAGUGAUGAAGGUCUUCGGAUCGUAAAGCUCUGUUAUUAGGGAAGAACAGAUGUGUAAGUAACUGUGCACGUCUUGACGGUACCUAAAGAGAAAGCAACGGCUAACUACGUG